AUUUAAAUAGUUUAAAUAAAAUAUUGAUUUGUGAUAUCAAAGAUAAGAUAUAUUCUUUUUAAAUC
RNAcentral lists this transfer RNA (65 nucleotides) under Muscina pascuorum. Its description in RNAcentral is "tRNA-His". Lineage: Eukaryota; Metazoa; Arthropoda; Insecta; Diptera; Muscidae. The record is from RNAcentral.